Molecule: ribosomal RNA, 479 nt
Filed under: uncultured bacterium
Lineage: Bacteria
Description: bacterial SSU rRNA
Rfam family: Bacterial small subunit ribosomal RNA
Source: RNAcentral
UUUCGCAAUGCCCGAAAGGGUGACGAAGCGACGCCGCGUGGGUGAGGAAGGCCUUCGGGUUGUAAAGCCCUGUCAGGAGUUAAGAAAUGUAAGUGCGCUAAUAUCGCAUUUAUUUGACGAAGGCUCCAAAGGAAGUCACGGCUAACUCUGUGCCAGCAGCCGCGGUAAUACAGAGGUGGCAAGCGUUGUUCGGAAUUAUUGGGCGUAAAGAGCACGUAGGUGGGUUUGUAAGUCAGAUGUGAAAGCCUUCUGUUCAACGGAAGAAUUGCAUCUGAAACUGCGAGUCUUGAGUGUAGGAGGGGAGAAUGGAACUUCUGGUGGAGCGGUGAAAUGCGUAGAUAUCAGAAGGAACGCCGGCGGCGAAAGCGGUUCUCUGGCCUAUUACUGACACUCAGUGUGCGAAAGCUAGGGGAGCAAACGGGAUUAGAUACCCCGGUAGUCCUAGCCGUAAACGAUGGGCACUAAGUAGAGGGGUUUUA